This 274-nucleotide ribosomal RNA is filed under the name uncultured bacterium. RNAcentral describes it as "partial 16S ribosomal RNA". It matches the Rfam family "Bacterial small subunit ribosomal RNA", at positions 523 to 796 of the family's 1533-position model. The record is from RNAcentral.
CUACGGAGGGUGCAAGCGUUAUUCGGAAUCACUGGGCGUAAAGGGUGCGUAGGCGGUUUGAUAAGUCUGAUGUGAAAUCCUAUGGCUCAACCAUAGAACUGCAUUGGAAACUGUCAGACUAGAAUACUGAAGGGGCAGAUGGAAUUAGUGGUGUAGGGGUAAAAUCCGUAGAUAUCACUAGGAAUACCGAAAGCGAAAGCGAUCUGCUGGGAAGUUAUUGACGCUGAGGCACGAAAGCGUGGGGAGCAAACGGGAUUAGAAACCCUAGUAGUCC